GGUGUUGUGGCGCAAUGGUUAGCGCAUCGGAUUUCGGUCUUCCGAAGGUUGCAGGUUCGAAUCCUGUCAACAUCG
Molecule: transfer RNA, 75 nt
Filed under: Geotrichum candidum
Lineage: Eukaryota; Fungi; Ascomycota; Dipodascomycetes; Dipodascales; Dipodascaceae
Description: transfer RNA-Arg (TCG)
Rfam family: tRNA
About the family: Transfer RNA (tRNA) molecules are approximately 80 nucleotides in length. Their secondary structure includes four short double-helical elements and three loops (D, anti-codon, and T loops). Further hydrogen bonds mediate the characteristic L-shaped molecular structure. tRNAs have two regions of fundamental functional importance: the anti-codon, which is responsible for specific mRNA codon recognition, and the 3' end, to which the tRNAs corresponding amino acid is attached (by aminoacyl-tRNA synthetases). tRNAs cope with the degeneracy of the genetic code in two manners: having more than one tRNA (with a specific anti-codon) for a particular amino acid; and 'wobble' base-pairing, i.e. permitting non-standard base-pairing at the 3rd anti-codon position.
Source: RNAcentral